This 183-nucleotide non-coding RNA is filed under the name Bacillota bacterium. RNAcentral's name for it is "6S RNA". It matches the Rfam family "6S / SsrS RNA". From Rfam's summary of the family: E. coli 6S RNA was the first non coding RNA to be sequenced, but its function was unknown until recently. Lineage: Bacteria; Bacillati; Bacillota. RNAcentral also lists the same sequence under 1 other name. The record is from RNAcentral.
UUAACCCUGCUGUGUGCGUGGGUCACGGUGAGUUUGAGCCAACACCGUGUGAGAGGGAGCCUGGACUCCGCUUAGCGGCGCGUAGACUGCCACGCAGUCGGCAGAAACGCAAAGCUACGGGAGGGCACCCACCUGCUUAGGCAGGUUCAACACCCUCCGGGUUCACGGCAUGGCGGGGUACGC